This 474-nucleotide ribosomal RNA is filed under the name uncultured bacterium. RNAcentral describes it as "bacterial SSU rRNA". It matches the Rfam family "Bacterial small subunit ribosomal RNA", at positions 36 to 507 of the family's 1533-position model. The record is from RNAcentral.
CUGGCGGCAUGCCUUACACAUGCAAGUCGAACGGCAGCGGACCUUCGGGUGCCGGCGAGUGGCGAACGGGUGAGUAAUAUAUCGGAACGUACCUUUCAGUGGGGGAUAACGUAGCGAAAGUUACGCUAAUACCGCAUAUUCUGUGAGCAGGAAAGCAGGGGAUCGCAAGACCUUGCGCUGAUUGAGCGGCCGAUAUCAGGUUAGCUAGUUGGUGAGGUAAAGGCUCACCAAGGCGACGAUCUGUAGCGGGUCUGAGAGGAUGAUCCGCCACACUGGAACUGAGACACGGUCCAGACUCCUACGGGAGGCAGCAGUGGGGAAUUUUGGACAAUGGGCGCAAGCCUGAUCCAGCCAUGCCGCGUGAGUGAAGAAGGCCUUCGGGUUGUAAAGCUCUUUCGGCCGGGAAGAAAUCGCACGGGUUAAUACCCUGUGUGGAUGACGGUACCGGAAUAAGAAGCACCGGCUAACUACGUG